GAUGAACGCUGGCGGCGUGCCUAAUACAUGCAAGUCGAGCGAACGGACGAGAAGCUUGCUUCUCUGAUGUUAGCGGCGGACGGGUGAGUAACACGUGGAUAACCUACCUAUAAGACUGGGAUAACUUCGGGAAACCGGAGCUAAUACCGGAUAAUAUUUUGAACCGCAUGGUUCAAAAGUGAAAGCCGGUCUUGCUGUCACUUAUAGAUGGAUCCGCGCUGCAUUAGCUAGUUGGUAAGGUAACGGCUUACCAAGGCAACGAUGCAUAGCCGACCUGGGAGGGGGAAGGGCGACACUGGGACUGAGACACGGUCCAGACUCCUACGGGAGGCAGCGGUAGGGAAUCUUCCGAAAUGGGCGAAAGCCUGACGGAGCAACGCCGCGUGAGUGAUGAAGGUCUUCGGAUCGUAAGACUCUGUUAUGAGGGAAGAACAUAUGUGUAAGUAACUGAGCACAUCUUGACGGUACCUAAACAGAAAGCCACGGCUAACUACGUG
RNAcentral lists this ribosomal RNA (497 nucleotides) under uncultured bacterium. RNAcentral describes it as "partial 16S ribosomal RNA". It matches the Rfam family "Bacterial small subunit ribosomal RNA", at positions 28 to 507 of the family's 1533-position model. The record is from RNAcentral.